Molecule: unclassified non-coding RNA, 3156 nt
Filed under: Hevea brasiliensis (rubber tree)
Lineage: Eukaryota; Viridiplantae; Streptophyta; Magnoliopsida; Malpighiales; Euphorbiaceae
Source: RNAcentral
CUUCUCUCUCUCUUUCUCUCCCUUCCCUAGUUUCUAUUUCAUAAGCAUGCACAAAUAAGGUAAUUUUCAGAAUUCCUCAACGAAAGGAUUGAAGAAGAGUUAUGCUUAGAUAGAUUUGGAUUUUUUUUUCACGGCUUGGGAAUGUGCAUAUCGGUACAAGUGAUUAAUGAAAAGUUACCAACUAAGUGCUGACCAGUGCUCCUUUAGAACUUGCAAAUGUUGGUGUAUUUUCACUUAGAAACUAGUUAUGAAUUACAUGAUAGAACUUUGGUAGCAAAAACAAAUUGAGUAAGUUCCUGAUGAUUGUGAAUAGCAGUUCAGGUGAAGGUUAAGACUUUAAUUUAAUGGGUUAAAUGCAGAAUUAAUUUUUCAGGAUCUUUGGAAAACCUGGAAGAAAAUAAGGUAAUUAUGACUCUAAUUUAACUAUCAUUCCUCCAUUUUCUUUUUGGUGUAUCAGGUAUAUGAAGAAUAAGAGCUUUAUGAAGCUUAACUUUGUGCUCUCUUGUUGAUUCUAGAUAUUAUUCUGAACUAAUUCAAGACAAGUCAUUAUGAAAGUAUUUGAACAUACUUGAAGUAGGCUAAAUGUAGUCUAAAUUUUUAAUAAAAAUUUUCCUAUUUGAGCUGGCAAUGUGGUUUACUUAAGUUGUAUAUCUGAUUUUUUUAAAUAUAUGGUUAUAAGAUCAUUAAAUUAGUGGAAAUGCUAAGUUUUAAUUUUAGUACUUUUUAUUUUAUUUUAUUCUUUUGGUUCAUGGAUAUAGAUAAAGGUUUCAUUAGUAUUCUUCUUCUACAGCUCUCCAAUUUGGAAGUCUGGUUUCAGCGACCCAAAGACAUUGUACGGAAGUUGUUAUCUGGAGAUUUGGACCUUGGAAUUGUGGGUUUUGAUACAGUCAGUGAGUAUGGAAAGGGGAAUGAGGAUCUUAUCCUUGUUCAUGAUGCUCUUGAGUAUGGGGAUUGCCGUUUGUCCUUUGCAAUUCCUAAUUAUGGGAUUUUUGAAAAUGUAAAAUCAAUGAGGGAGCUAGCGCAAAUGCCUCAAUGGACAGCUGAGAAACCUCUGCGAGUUGCUACUGGCUUCACUUAUCUGGGUCCUAAGUUUAUGAAAGAAAAUGGGCUGGAGCAUGUGAUAUUUUCAACUGCUGAUGGAGCAUUGGAAGCUGCACCUGCGGUGAGACGUAAUCCUUUGUUGUAGGACCAAGUGAACCAUUUUUAUUAUUCAUAGUGCUAUCAUUAAUUGAUUAUUUUGAAUCUUCAUUGCUGUCUUCGCAUGUGAUGCAUCACCUCACAAGUAGGAUGGUUGGGAGAUAAUUUUGAUUUAAUUUUAGUUUAAUUUUUGCAUGCUGCAUUAACAAACUGCAAAAAUUUGCUUAUCUGUUUUCUUUUAUCCUCAUUCAUCUUGUAAAUGUUUCAUCAGAAAGAGUGGCGUUUAAAUUUUCAUCUUUUUAUUUGUUUUUACUUAUUGAUAGAUGAGUCAAUAUUCAGGUAUUAAACUGUCUUGACAAGCUUUGAACAUGCUUGUUGAACAUGCAUACUUUCUUGACAUUUUUACAUCCUCUAGGUUAAAUUUUUUGUAGCCUUGUGGUUUAGGCAAUGGAAUAUGAAGAUGAGAGGGCUCAGUUUAAUCUAAAAAAUUGGUAAUGAGGGUACAUAAUGGUCCUCUUAAUUCAUAUUUUACCUGCUGUACUUUCUUUCUUCUUGAUUUGAGGCUUCCACUUCCACAUCUUGGAAAAUGGUGCUUAGAAUGCAUCCGCAUGUAUUAUAUGAAUUAUUGUUUUCUUUUUAGAUGGGAAUUGCUGACGCUAUUUUGGACCUUGUAAGUAGUGGAACAACACUGAGAGAAAACAACCUGAAAGAAAUUGAAGGUGGAGUUGUAUUGGAGAGCCAGGCUGUUCUUGUUGCUAGCAGGAAAUCCUUGAUGCAACAGAAGGGUGCGCUGGACACAACACAUGAGAUUCUUGAGAGGCUGGAGGCACAUUUGCGGGCAAUUGGUCAGUUCACGGUGACUGCAAACAUGAGAGGAAGCAGUGCAGAUGAAGUGGCUGAACGAGUUCUGAGCCAGCCAUCUUUGUCUGGGUUGCAGGUGAGGAUCAAGACAGAAGCAUGACUUGGAACAGUAACUUGCCUUUUUCUCCCCUCCUUGCAAAUGCCAUGACUUGGAACAGUUAACUUGCAGUGUGGGAUAUUUACUAGUUUCUUGACCAAUAUUCUCAUCUUUUUAUUUCACGCAUCUUUUUACUUUUCUCUGGGGGAUGGCUAAUAAGUUACUUGCAGUUCUUUGGGUCCAGUCAUGCCCUCAUCAGGCAAUUUAUGGAAAUAAAUCCUUGAGGUUAGCAACCAGAGAGGCUGUGGUAGGACUUAAACUCUGGGGCAAGACCGCAAGACUCAUAAUGGCCAAGUCUUAAGACCCUUGCCACUCAGACAUCUCCUUGGGUUAUCUUAAUUUCAAGCUCUUAUGUGUUCUUUUUGUGGUCACAUGCAGGGGCCAACUGUAAGUCCAGUUUACUGCAAACGUGAUGGAAAAGUUUCUCCAGAUUAUUACGCCAUAGUCAUUUGUGUCCCAAAAAAGGCACUGUACAAGUCUGUACAGCAACUGAGAGCGGUGAGUUACCUAAUUUUAUUAGAAGCUAUGAUGUGUUGUUAUAAAUUGGUAUUUCCUAUUUUUGGGUUUGUAGGUAGAACCUUUAAAUCCAAGCGUAGAAGGUCCAGGAUUUUCCUUUUGUUUAUUUCUUUUGGUGAGGACAGUUUCUUUGUACAUUGGUAUGGCAUAAGUUUAGUUCGUUCUGAAUGGCCAUGGCUCAGGUAUAAUCAGGCUUAAGAUUAGUGUAUUAUCUUCAGAUGCAUUACAUGUUAAUUGAUUCUGGCUGGAGCAAGCUAAGACAUUUAUACGGGGUAUUCAUGUAUUUGGGAUUGUUGGUGUUUGCUGAUUUUAUUCCAAAUUCUAACUCUCUAAAUAUUCCAGUAGAUACGCAUUAGAACAAUAUUUUAUCUUCUCCCAUCUCUCCUUGAGAUUUUGUACUUGAUUCCAUGUUUGACAAACGAUUCAGUUGAGUGUUGAACUUGCCAAAUGCUCCUACUAAGUUAAUAUUUGGAAGGACCUAAUGAAUUUUUUUUACAAAUAUUGCUUUGUACAUUUCUUUUUGCAGAUUGGAGGUAGCGGAGUUC